This 65-nucleotide transfer RNA is filed under the name Tapes dorsatus. RNAcentral's name for it is "tRNA-Gly". The record is from RNAcentral. Lineage: Eukaryota; Metazoa; Mollusca; Bivalvia; Venerida; Veneridae.
GUAGUGGUAGUAUAAUAAGUAUAUCUGUCUUCCAAACAGAAGGUUCAAGGGUGGUGAUCACUACA